GUGAAGAACGUAGCGAAAUGCGAUAAGUAAUGUGAAUUGCAGAAUUCAGUGAAUCAUCGAAUCUUUGAACGCACAUUGCGCCCGCCAGUAUUCUGGCGGGCAUGCCUGUUCGAGCGUCAUUUCAACCCUCAAGCCCCCGGGCUUGGUGUUGGGGAUCGGCGUGCCCUCGCGGCGCGCCGUCCCCUAAAUCUAGUGGCGGUCUCGCUGUAGCUUCCUCUGCGUAGUAGCAACACUCGCACUGGAUCGCAGCGCGGCCACGCCGUUAAACCCCCCACUUCUGAAAGUUUGACCUCGGAUCAGGUAGGAAUACCCGCUGAACUUAAGCAUAUCAAUAAGCGGAGGA
RNAcentral lists this unclassified non-coding RNA (343 nucleotides) under soil metagenome. RNAcentral's name for it is "partial contains 5.8S ribosomal RNA, internal transcribed spacer 2, and large subunit ribosomal RNA". The stretch from base 2 to 119 matches the Rfam family "5.8S ribosomal RNA", at positions 37 to 154 of the family's 154-position model. The record is from RNAcentral.